Molecule: ribosomal RNA, 468 nt
Filed under: uncultured bacterium
Lineage: Bacteria
Description: partial 16S ribosomal RNA
Rfam family: Bacterial small subunit ribosomal RNA
Source: RNAcentral
GACGAACGCUGGCGGCGUGCUUAACACAUGCAAGUCGAACGGAAAGGCCCUGCUUUUGUGGGGUGCUCGAGUGGCGAACGGGUGAGUAACACGUGAGUAACCUGCCCUUGACUUUGGGAUAACUUCAGGAAACUGGGGCUAAUACCGGAUAGGAGCUCCUGCUGCAUGGUGGGGGUUGGAAAGUUUCGGCGGUUGGGGAUGGACUCGCGGCUUAUCAGCUUGUUGGUGGGGUAGUGGCUUACCAAGGCUUUGACGGGUAGCCGGCCUGAGAGGGUGACCGGCCACAUUGGGACUGAGGUACGGCCCAGACUCCUACGGGACGCAGCAGUGGGGAAUAUUGCACAAUGGGCGGAAGCCUGAUGCAGCAACGCCGCGUGCGGGAUGACGGCCUUCGGGUUGUAAACCGCUUUCGCCUGUGACGAAGCGUGAGUGACGGUAAUGGGUAAAGAAGCACCGGCUAACUACGUG